GAUUAUCGGAAAUGUAUAUCUCAUCUCUUGUCGCAAUGAAGAAUGUAGUGAAAUGUGAUACUUAGUGUGAAUUGAAGAAUUCUCUGAAUCAUUGAGUUUUUUAAUGCAAUUUGUGCCUGAGGCCUCAGUCGAGGGAACAUCUGUCCAAGUGAUC
Non-coding RNA from Picea glauca (white spruce), 154 nucleotides. The record is from Rfam. Lineage: Eukaryota; Viridiplantae; Streptophyta; Pinopsida; Pinales; Pinaceae.